Molecule: ribosomal RNA, 196 nt
Filed under: uncultured bacterium
Lineage: Bacteria
Description: partial 16S ribosomal RNA
Rfam family: Bacterial small subunit ribosomal RNA
Source: RNAcentral
CGGUAGCUAAUACCGCAUAACGUCGCAAGACCAAAGAGGGGGACCUUCGGGCCUCUUGCCAUCAGAUGUGCCCAGAUGGGAUUAGCUAGUAGGUGGGGUAACGGCUCACCUAGGCGACGAUCCCUAGCUGGUCUGAGAGGAUGACCAGCCACACUGGAACUGAGACACGGUCCAGACUCCUACGGGAGGCAGCAUG